This 467-nucleotide ribosomal RNA is filed under the name uncultured bacterium. RNAcentral describes it as "bacterial SSU rRNA". It matches the Rfam family "Bacterial small subunit ribosomal RNA", at positions 329 to 793 of the family's 1533-position model. The record is from RNAcentral.
UCCCAGACUCCUACGGGAGGCAGCAGUGAGGAAUAUUGGUCAAUGGGCGGAAGCCUGAACCAGCCAAGUCGCGUGAGGGACUAAGGCCCUGCGGGUCGUAAACCUCUUUUGCCGGGGAGCAGUGGUCCGGACGCGUCCGGACCGGGAGAGUACCCGGAGAAAAAGCAUCGGCUAACUCCGUGCCAGCAGCCGCGGUAAUACGGAGGAUGCGAGCGUUAUCCGGAUUUAUUGGGUUUAAAGGGUGCGUAGGCGGUCCGUUAGGUCAGCGGUAAAAUUGCGGGGCUCAACCCCGUCGAGCCGUUGAAACUGGCAGACUUGAGUUGGCGAGAAGUACGCGGAAUGCGCGGUGUAGCGGUGAAAUGCAUAGAUAUCGCGCAGAACUCCGAUUGCGAAGGCAGCGUACCGGCGCCAGACUGACGCUGAGGCACGAAAGCGUGGGGAUCGAACAGGAUUAGAUACCCCGGUAG